GACGAACGCUGGCGGCGUGCCUAACACAUGCAAGUCGAACGGAGAUAUUAAUGAAGCUUGCGAUUUAAUAUCUUAGUGGCGGACGGGUGAGUAACGCGUGGGUAAUCUGCCCAUAAGUGGGGGACAACAGUUGGAAACGACUGCUAAUACCGCAUACCCUGUGCAAACAGGAAAGAUGGCCUCUGAAUAUGCUGUCGCUUAUGGAUGAGCCCGCGUCUGAUUAGCUAGUUGGUGGGGUAACGGCCUACCAAGGCGACGAUCAGUAGCCGGCCUGAGAGGGUGAACGGGCACACUGGGACUGAGACACGGCCCAGACUCCGACGGGAGGCAGCAGUGGGGAAUAUUGCGCAAUGGGGGAAACCCUGACGCAGCGACGCCGCGUGAGCGAUGAAGGCCUUAGGGUUGUAAAGCUCUGUUUUAAGGGACGAAUGUCUAGAUGAGUAAUAUGCGUUUAGAAUGACGGUACCUUAAGAGGAAGCCCCGGCUAACUACGUGCCAGCCGCCGCGGUAA
Molecule: ribosomal RNA, 511 nt
Filed under: uncultured bacterium
Lineage: Bacteria
Description: partial 16S ribosomal RNA
Rfam family: Bacterial small subunit ribosomal RNA
Source: RNAcentral